Molecule: ribosomal RNA, 463 nt
Filed under: uncultured bacterium
Lineage: Bacteria
Description: partial 16S ribosomal RNA
Rfam family: Bacterial small subunit ribosomal RNA
Source: RNAcentral
GACGAACGCUGGCGGCGUGCUUAACACAUGCAAGUCGAGCGGAAAGGCCACUUCGGUGGUACUCGAGCGGCGAACGGGUGAGUAACACGUGAGUAAUCUGCCCCUCACUUUGGGAUAGCCACCGGAAACGGUGAUUAAUACCGGAUAUGACCAUAUGUCGCAUGGCGUGUGGUGGAAAGUUUUUCGGUGAGGGAUGUGCUCGCGGCCUAUCAGCUUGAUGGUGAGGUAAUGGCUCACCAUGGCUUCGACGGGUAGCCGGCCUGAGAGGGUGACCGGUCACACUGGGACUGAGACACGGACCAGACUCCUACGGGAGGCAGCAGUGGGGAAUAUUGGACAAUGGGCGGAAGCCUGAUCCAGCAACGCCGCGUGAGGGAUGACGGCCUUCGGGUUGUAAACCUCUUUCAGUACCGACGAAGCGCAAGUGACGGUAGGUACAGAAGAAGCACCGGCCAACUACGUG